Molecule: unclassified non-coding RNA, 206 nt
Filed under: Hevea brasiliensis (rubber tree)
Lineage: Eukaryota; Viridiplantae; Streptophyta; Magnoliopsida; Malpighiales; Euphorbiaceae
Source: RNAcentral
GGGUUUGGCAAUGGUUGAGGCAAAGACGCCCUAUCUUUGUUGAAGGCUUCCAAAAGUAGUGCAGACUGCUUCUCUGCUCUUUCACUUCUAAGUUUUUCCACCUCUUCCAGAGCUUGAAUCUUAAAAUCUGUCUUGCCUUCAAGAUCAUAUUUAUCAGCUUCUUUCAACUUCUCCUUGAUCUGCUUUGAUAACUCAAUUAUCUCUGG